UUAAGCCUUACGGGAGACUCUGCCCUCA
RNAcentral lists this non-coding RNA (28 nucleotides) under Homo sapiens (human). The record is from RNAcentral. Lineage: Eukaryota; Metazoa; Chordata; Mammalia; Primates; Hominidae.